Molecule: transfer RNA, 72 nt
Filed under: Gasterosteus aculeatus (three-spined stickleback)
Lineage: Eukaryota; Metazoa; Chordata; Actinopteri; Perciformes; Gasterosteidae
Rfam family: tRNA
About the family: Transfer RNA (tRNA) molecules are approximately 80 nucleotides in length. Their secondary structure includes four short double-helical elements and three loops (D, anti-codon, and T loops).
Source: Rfam by way of RNAcentral
GGGGAUGUAGCUCACUGGUAGAGCGCACGCAUCGCAUGUAUGACGUCCUGGGUUCAAUCCCCAGCAUCUCCA